UCACUGUACAAACAAGAACCCUUCUACCAAUAUUUCUCUGUGUCUACUGACGUAGUUCACAUGAUUACAACAUAAAGCUGAAUGAAAAGUAACAACGUUUUCAAAUCAUACCUAUGUAUUAUCAUCUAAAUCAUCAAAAUUCAAUAGAAAGUUUGAAGCUUUGAUAUCAAUAAGCAUCAGAUUAGUAGAAAGUUGUAAACUCACCCAUGGAGCCAAGCCGAGAUUUUUUCGAUGACCCGGAAUUAGAUGAUGUCGUACCUCCGGCUGCAGCUGCUUGCUCUCUCCUCUCCUUAGCAGACCAGCUGCUCCCGGCGGGCGCAUGGCCUCUAGGAAUAAAGUCAGGAAGCUAAUAAGGAACCUGAAAAAUAACCAAUCAGGCUUACCAUUUUUCAUAUUCAACUUAAGAUCAAACUACCAACAUAUUAUAAAUUAACCCAAAACUCAUGUAUAGAUCUUUUAUGUUUUUAAAAGAACUUAUCAAACGUGCCUCAUGUUAGUUGAUGUGGCCAGCUCCACGGGUAUAAUGGAAGCUACAUACAUUGUCGAGGGCCCCCUCCGACGUCCUUUACCCCACCUUCGCCUCCACUACCACCAACACCUUCAAGUCCGCCAACAUGCUACGUCUUGUUAGCCCAGAACAUUUCCUGUUUAAAAUUUAGGUUUCACAGAGAUAAAAUUUUGAUUGGCCUUAGUCCUUUCAUUAUAUCCGUGGAACCCUUUCACAAUUCUGGUAUCAAGUAACAGUCACAAAAAAAAAAUUAAGAUCAACCUAAGAAAAGGUACGGAAUGGCCUACUAAUCUAAAUUGUGAUAUACAUAUAUGUAAUUUCCACAAAUUCUUAAGAAAUCAACGAUUAAACGCUUAUAAAUCAUGAAUCAUAUCUAAGGGAAAGUGCAAUAAUCAGAAUGAAACUUGGGGUUCAAAGAACGAAAUAAAUAAAAAGAAAAAGAGGACACAAAAUCCAGAAAGUGAAAAUAUCAGAGAGAUUACGCUGAAACCCCACAUUCAAGAAUCGCUAGCAGAGGAGUGAACAUUCUCCAUUGAUCCCAUAUCUUGUGUUCUCCUCACUUUCGAUGUAGAAUUCUCCCUGAACUAUAAAAUUGAAUACACAAAAAAAACUUAAAUUAGAGGCUUGGUUUUACAAUAUGAAUAAAGGAUAUAGACUGAAGAUUUUCUCAAAAAGAAAAGAUAUCUCAAGGAAAAAAAAACUUAAAUUAGAUUUGCAGAAGGAAUGAAAUCUAUAG
RNAcentral lists this long non-coding RNA (1244 nucleotides) under Brassica rapa (field mustard). RNAcentral describes it as "long non-coding RNA (BRAP_LNC006777)". Lineage: Eukaryota; Viridiplantae; Streptophyta; Magnoliopsida; Brassicales; Brassicaceae. The record is from RNAcentral.